GCCGGGACCGGAGAUUGCGGAAAUGGAGACGCCGUGUGUGGAAAGGUGGGCGUAUGGGGCGGAAAGGGAACCUGAUUGACUCCGGUCAUCCGGUGGUUAGUGGAGACGGUUCUGGCAGUGUAGCCGCCCCUGUCUGCUCCGACGCGAGCGCCCCUGGUAGUACCUAGGCAGCACCCGUUUCGGAGACAGGCACGCGCCGUUUGAGAGCCCGCGGUCUGGCGCGGUAGUGACCUGCGACCAGCCCAGCGGAGCCUCCAACGGUGGGCGACCACACUUACCGUCUUGCACUUUGGGAGGGGGGAAAGGGUUAAAUUUACACUGUUACACAUGAGCACAUUGUUUGGUUGUGUUUCUAAAUUCUCAUAUCUUUAUUUCAUAUUUUUCCUUGUCUUUUUCCCUGUCUUACCGCCGUAUGUACUUAAAUUUCCUAUGUCCCUACCUACGUCGCACCAAACUAAGUCGUACUAGAAAAAGGGUGAGGCCCACAGCCUCGCUUACCCGAUCCUCUCGAGCCUAUCGGUCUUUUUGUCUCCUCGCCUGGCGCUCGGUCCUUGAGCCUCUCGUGGUCAACGGUGUCUUGAGCCUCUCGUGGGCACGUGGUCUUGAGCCUCUCGUGGGCAACGGUGGGGUUAUGGCGCACUUUUUACUCUUUUCACUUUUGUCGCCGCAGCGAUCUCGACUGGUCCUCCCGGUGUUCCAAACAUUUCUCCCCGAGGCGAGCUCUGCGUGGCGAUCGCGAGCCCUUAGCUGCGGUCCCUUGUCCGGGCUGCGCUGCCAUCUCUGCCCACGCCCGUGGCUUUCUUGGUGUUCGCCGCUCUCGGGCUGCUGUCGGUGCCCUUGCUCUCUCGCUCUGCUUCUCUGCUGCUGGCUCUCGGCGUUGAUCUCUGGCUCUGCUUCUGCCGCUCUGCUGCUGGCUCUCGUCGUCGUUCUCGUUUCGUUCUGCUGCUGGCUCUCGGCUUCGCUCUCUCUGUUCUGUUGGCGGCUCGCGUCGUCGUUCUCUGGCUCUGCUUCUCUGCUCUGCUCUGCUGCUGGCCGCUCUCGGUCUGCUGGCUCACUUCGUCGUUCUCUUUGGCUCUGCUGCUGGCUCACGUCGUCGUUCUCUUUAGCUCUGCUGCUGUUGGCUCGCGUCACCGUUCUCUUUGCUCUGCUCGGCUGUUGGCUACUGUGGGCCGCGAACUUAAAUUAUGACUUCAGAAUUUCACCCCUUAGAAACUAAUAAUGGAAAAUUAUAAACUCAAUAAUAAAGACUUCAUGGUACCUCUCCUAAAUACCUAAUAAAAUAUAAAACAAGUAACUUUCUUAGUGAAAACUUAACCCUAUAUAUAUAACAAAG
This 1333-nucleotide long non-coding RNA is filed under the name Drosophila guanche. The record is from RNAcentral. Lineage: Eukaryota; Metazoa; Arthropoda; Insecta; Diptera; Drosophilidae.